Molecule: ribosomal RNA, 342 nt
Filed under: Staphylococcus aureus
Lineage: Bacteria; Bacillati; Bacillota; Bacilli; Caryophanales; Staphylococcaceae
Description: partial 23S ribosomal RNA
Rfam family: Bacterial large subunit ribosomal RNA
Source: RNAcentral
UAAGGGCGCACGGUGGAUGCCUUGGCACUAGAAGCCGAUGAAGGACGUUACUAACGACGAUAUGCUUUGGGGAGCUGUAAGUAAGCUUUGAUCCAGAGAUUUCCGAAUGGGGAAACCCAGCAUGAGUUAUGUCAUGUUAUCGAUAUGUGAAUACAUAGCAUAUCAGAAGGCACACCCGGAGAACUGAAACAUCUUAGUACCCGGAGGAAGAGAAAGAAAAUUCGAUUCCCUUAGUAGCGGCGAGCGAAACGGGAAGAGCCCAAACCAACAAGCUUGCUUGUUGGGGUUGUAGGACACUCUAUACGGAGUUACAAAGGACGACAUUAGACGAAUCAUCUGGAA